UCCGAGUUUGCUCUGCAGAGCUGUUUUCUCCCACACGCGUUCACCCCGCACUUGGCAAAUAAACUUCUGGCACCGGUUUUGCUUUGUCUCGUUCAGUUCUUCGUGUGAGGCAAGAAGGACCUGGAAUACUUUUGCCUGGUGAGCCGUCCCUCAAGGAACCACCCGUAACAGGAGGGAGAGGGGCCUGUUGGGCUGGGGAAGGAGCUGAGUGCUGAGGUGAGACCCAGAGCACUGCCCAUCAGGACCGAGCCCGGGGAAGGGAGGGCGGAACACCAGGCGGCUUUCAGGACACCGAGAACAUCAGGGCUGGUGCUCCCUUCCCUGGGUACAGCCGAGGAGCCAGCGACAGCGUGUCCCGGACCCCUUCCGAUGUGGCACCUUCACCUCAGAGAGGGUGUGGGUUGGGCCCCAGGCAGCCCUGCUUUGGACAGUGUGGGUCUGUGUGAGAUGGGGCGGGCACCUGGAAGGAUGUGUGUCCCGGGAGGGGUGAGGGGGACCCCUGAAGUACCGCGGUCCCAAUUGUUGAGAUCACCAGGACUGUGCCACGGCGGAAGGCCACGGCGGAAGGCCACGGCGGAAGGCCAUGACAGCUGCAGGGUGGACUUCUGAGCCCCGGGGUCGGAGGCUUCCCAUGUGGGCCUCGGGGACAAGGCUGGCGAACAGGGGCUCCAGGGCGGAGCUUCAGCCUCGCAGAGGACUGGUGUGCCCGUGUUAUAGCCAAGCGUGACAGCUCUGUGUUGCGGCCAAGCAUUACGGCUAUCCAAGGGUCUCCGGUGAGGAAGAAGUCCAGUGGCUCUCCAGAGAUGGAGAUCCUGUUAUGCAGGCAGACUCAGACGAGUUCGUACUCCGGAGUCUGAGCCCGGAAGAGAAAUACAAGUGGUCUUACAUAGAGAUCUACGGGCUGCGGCUGGGGGUGGGCCGACCUCCCAGGUGCGUAUGCUCACUGAGGUGGAUGGGUGGGCCCACGGAACAUUCUUGAAGCCUAGACAUCCUACCGCACAGUUAAACAUGGAGGGGCGCUUGGCAACAGACAAAGGCCCGCCCUGUUGUGCAUUAUUUCUUCAUCACCCAAAGCCAAGAUGGGGAGACGUGACUUCUUCAUGCAGGGCCCACUUGGAGCGGAGGGGGAGGAGAGUGGUGUCAGCGACGGGAGAACAGACUGUGAUCACCCCAGAAGAGGAUUUCUGGAACCAGGCCCCGAGGCCCCGGAAUGCACAGUCCAGCUUCUGUGCCUGGAUAGGCUGA
This 1245-nucleotide long non-coding RNA is filed under the name Fukomys damarensis (Damara mole-rat). RNAcentral describes it as "lncRNA (ENSFDAG00000031106.1)". Lineage: Eukaryota; Metazoa; Chordata; Mammalia; Rodentia; Bathyergidae. The record is from RNAcentral.